ACCGGUGCAAAGGUAGCAUAAUCACUUGCCUAUUAAUUAUAGGCUAGAAUGAAAGGGUUAACGAAAUAAAGACUGUCUCAAUUAAUUACCUAAAAAUUAUUCUCUACCCGAAGAAAGGUAGAUAAUCUCGAAGGACAAGAAGACCCUAUAGAGCUUAAUUUUAAUUAUAGAAUUAAACUAUAAGAAUAUUCGGUUGGGGCGACCCAGGGCCUAAUCAAUCACCCAUUAAAUAAAAGAUAUAUAAAUCUAGUAAAUGACCCUAUAAAGAUCAUAAGAACAAGCUACCUUAGGGAUAACAGGCUAAUCCCACUUAAGAGUCCUUAUCGACAGUGGGGGUUGGCACCUCGAUGUUGGCUUAGGGUAUCUAUAUAGCGCAAAAGUUGUAUAAAGAUGGUUUGUUCAACC
RNAcentral lists this ribosomal RNA (405 nucleotides) under Amynthas carnosus. Its description in RNAcentral is "partial 16S ribosomal RNA". It matches the Rfam family "Bacterial large subunit ribosomal RNA", at positions 1944 to 2586 of the family's 2925-position model. Lineage: Eukaryota; Metazoa; Annelida; Clitellata; Crassiclitellata; Megascolecidae. The record is from RNAcentral.